Arachis ipaensis is the source of this 139-nucleotide non-coding RNA. NCBI's taxonomy places the organism in Eukaryota, Viridiplantae, Streptophyta, Magnoliopsida, Fabales, Fabaceae. The record is from RefSeq and is a predicted model, not a curated record.
UAACGUGGUUCACUUUUUUGAAUAUGGGGACUAAUUUAGUGCAAUCGGGAUCUGGAGGACUAAAUCAGUGCAACUCGCCAAUCUCAGGGACUAAAAUAGGACUUAACUCUCUCAAAAUUUAUUAGUUUCUUACUGCAAC